GAGGUUAUAGCUCAGGGGUAAGAGUGCCUGCUUAGCAUACGUGAGGUCCUGAGUUCAAUCCCCAGUAGCUCCA
Molecule: transfer RNA, 73 nt
Filed under: Camelus bactrianus (Bactrian camel)
Lineage: Eukaryota; Metazoa; Chordata; Mammalia; Artiodactyla; Camelidae
Also listed under: 2 other names
Rfam family: tRNA
About the family: Transfer RNA (tRNA) molecules are approximately 80 nucleotides in length. Their secondary structure includes four short double-helical elements and three loops (D, anti-codon, and T loops). Further hydrogen bonds mediate the characteristic L-shaped molecular structure. tRNAs have two regions of fundamental functional importance: the anti-codon, which is responsible for specific mRNA codon recognition, and the 3' end, to which the tRNAs corresponding amino acid is attached (by aminoacyl-tRNA synthetases). tRNAs cope with the degeneracy of the genetic code in two manners: having more than one tRNA (with a specific anti-codon) for a particular amino acid; and 'wobble' base-pairing, i.e. permitting non-standard base-pairing at the 3rd anti-codon position.
Source: Rfam by way of RNAcentral